AGUGAACGCUGGCGGUAGGCCUAACACAUGCAAGUCGAACGGCAGCACAGUAAGAGCUUGCUCUUACGGGUGGCGAGUGGCGGACGGGUGAGGAAUACAUCGGAAUCUACUUUUUCGUGGGGGAUAACGUAGGGAAACUUACGCUAAUACCGCAUACGACCUACGGGUGAAAGCAGGGGAUCUUCGGACCUUGCGCGAUUGAAUGAGCCGAUGUCGGAUUAGCUAGUUGGCGGGGUAAAGGCCCACCAAGGCGACGAUCUGUAGCUGGUCUGAGAGGAUGAUCAGCCACACUGGAACUGAGACACGGUCCAGACUCCUACGGGAGGCAGCAGUGGGGAAUAUUGGACAAUGGGCGCAAGCCUGAUCCAGCCAUACCGCGUGGGUGAAGAAGGCCUUCGGGUUGUAAAGCCCUUUUGUUGGGAAAGAAAAGCAGCAGGUUAAUACCCUGCUGUUCUGACGGUACCCAAAGAAUAAGCACCGGCUAACUUCGUG
Molecule: ribosomal RNA, 492 nt
Filed under: uncultured bacterium
Lineage: Bacteria
Description: partial 16S ribosomal RNA
Rfam family: Bacterial small subunit ribosomal RNA
Source: RNAcentral